RNAcentral lists this ribosomal RNA (371 nucleotides) under uncultured bacterium. RNAcentral describes it as "bacterial SSU rRNA". It matches the Rfam family "Bacterial small subunit ribosomal RNA", at positions 527 to 896 of the family's 1533-position model. The record is from RNAcentral.
GGGGGGUGCAAGCGUUGUUCGGAAUUAUUGGGCGUAAAGAGCGUGUAGGCGGCUGAAUAAGUCAGAUGUGAAAUCCCUGGGCUUAACCCAGGAAGUGCAUUUGAAACUAUUCAGCUUGAGUAGGGGAGAGGAAAGUGGAAUUCCUGGUGUAGAGGUGAAAUUCGUAGAUAUCAGGAGGAACACCGGUGGCGAAGGCGACUUUCUGGCCCUAUACUGACGCUGAGACGCGAGAGCGUGGGUAGCAAACAGGAUUAGAUACCCUGGUAGUCCACGCUGAAAACGAUGUUCACUAGGUGUUGGGGGUAUUGACCCUCUCAGUGCCGCAGCUAACGCAUUAAGUGAACCGCCUGGGGAGUACGGUCGCAAGAUUA